AUGAAAGUCAUCACAGUUACCGAAGCCAAAGUUGUUGCUCUUUUCAAGUCCAUAAGCGUAGCACCGAUGGCGAGUCCAAGACCCUGGUUCACAAGCAGCCAUUAUCAGCACUAUCUUUUGGGUUCUUAGCAUCUGAUUGCCACCAAAGUAAUCCUAAGAUGACUGCAGUGGAUAAAACUUGUGUGAUUCUCAACCAGCUAAAAUAGUCAUGCCUCCUUUCCUUGAUUCCUCUCCAGAAAAGUAUGGAAUAUUGUUCAUCCCAACUUGCUCCCCAUUGUCUUUUAGGAGAACAUACUUUGGCCUUCAAAUUUUCAUCUAGAGCAAGGUCUAGCAAAAACUCUGCUGGAUUCAUGGAAAUAAGUGGUGAACAUCCUAUUGAUUGGAAAUAAUUCAUUGCUUCUGCUGCUUUUCCAAAGUAAAGUAAGCUCCCUUUCCCAAGAAGGAUCAACUUGUCAAAUUUGUGGAAGAGUCUACUUGAUGGUUGGUGAAUUGUUGUCACUACUGUUUUACCAGCCUACCAUAUAAUUUACAGCAUCUGAACAAUCUUCAAGGCUGUUGUUGAAUCCAAACCAGAUGUUGGUUCAUCAAGAAACAGAAUGGAAGGGUUGAUUAUAAUCUCAUUACCAAUACAAACUCUCUUCCUCUCUCCACCUGAUACUCCGCGAACAAAUGAACCACCGAUCAUGGUAUCUUGGCACCUGUUUCCAUGCAUACAAUACAAACUAUAUUGGCUUCUAUAACUAUGAAAUAGUAAUAUUUGCAUAUUGGUUAUAAUACUCUACCCUUUACUAUGUUACCUUCACACUAUGAUUUUUAUGCUUAUACUUCCUCCGUAUCAUAUUAUAUGUCUCAUUUGAAAUAUUUUUGUCUCAUUAUUUGUCAUUUUAUAAUACGAUUACAACAUUUAUUAUUUUUUUCAAUGUUACCCUUAUCAUUUAUUAAAGUAGUUGCAGCAAGUA
This is a non-coding RNA of Cicer arietinum (chickpea), 959 nucleotides long. NCBI's taxonomy places the organism in Eukaryota, Viridiplantae, Streptophyta, Magnoliopsida, Fabales, Fabaceae. The record is from RefSeq and is a predicted model, not a curated record.